This 377-nucleotide ribosomal RNA is filed under the name uncultured bacterium. RNAcentral's name for it is "bacterial SSU rRNA". It matches the Rfam family "Bacterial small subunit ribosomal RNA", at positions 523 to 898 of the family's 1533-position model. The record is from RNAcentral.
AUACGUAGGGGGCGAGCGUUGUCCGGAAUUACUGGGCGUAAAGGGCGCGUAGGCGGUCUAAUAAGUCAGAUGUGAAACCCCCGGGCUUAACCCUGGGCUUGCAUUUGAAACUGUUGGACUUGAGGACAGGAGAGGAAAGCGGAAUUCCCAGUGUAGCGGUGAAAUGCGUAGAUAUUGGGAGGAACACCAGUGGCGAAGGCGGCUUUCUGGACUGCACCUGACGCUGAGGCGCGAAAGCCAGGGGAGCGAACGGGAUUAGAUACCCCGGUAGUCCUGGCCGUAAACGAUGGAUACUAGGUGUGGGAGGUAUCGACCCCUUCCGUGCCGGAGCAAACGCAAUAAGUAUCCCACCUGGGGAGUACGGCCGCAAGGUUGAA